CCUACGGGAGGCAGCAGUGAGGAAUAUUGGUCAAUGGACGAGAGUCUGAACCAGCCAAGUAGCGUGAAGGAUGACUGCCCUAUGGGUUGUAAACUUCUUUUAUAUGGGAAUAAAAUGUUCCACGUGUGGGAUUUUGUAUGUACCAUAUGAAUAAGGAUCGGCUAACUCCGUGCCAGCAGCCGCGGUAAUACGGAGGAUCCGAGCGUUAUCCGGAUUUAUUGGGUUUAAAGGGAGCGUAGGUGGAUUGUUAAGUCAGUUGUGAAAGUUUGUGGCUCAACCGUAAAAUUGCAGUUGAAACUGGCAGUCUUGAGUACAGUAGAGGUAUGCGGAAUUCGUGGUGUAGCGGUGAAAUGCUUAGAUAUCACGAAGAACUCCGAUUGCGAAGGCAGUUCACUGGACUGCAACUGACACUGAGGCUCGAAAGUGUGGGUAUCAAACAGGAUUAGAUACCCUUGUAGUC
This 460-nucleotide ribosomal RNA is filed under the name uncultured bacterium. RNAcentral's name for it is "partial 16S ribosomal RNA". It matches the Rfam family "Bacterial small subunit ribosomal RNA", at positions 338 to 795 of the family's 1533-position model. The record is from RNAcentral.